RNAcentral lists this ribosomal RNA (462 nucleotides) under Comamonadaceae bacterium. Its description in RNAcentral is "bacterial SSU rRNA". It matches the Rfam family "Bacterial small subunit ribosomal RNA", at positions 400 to 855 of the family's 1533-position model. The record is from RNAcentral. Lineage: Bacteria; Pseudomonadati; Pseudomonadota; Betaproteobacteria; Burkholderiales; Comamonadaceae.
CGUGCAGGAUGAAGGCCUUCGGGUUGUAAACUGCUUUUGUACGGAACGAAACGGUGAGCUCUAAUACAGUUUGCUAAUGACGGUACCGUAAGAAUAAGCACCGGCUAACUACGUGCCAGCAGCCGCGGUAAUACGUAGGGUGCGAGCGUUAAUCGGAAUUACUGGGCGUAAAGCGUGCGCAGGCGGUGAUGUAAGACAGAUGUGAAAUGCCCGGGCUCAACCUGGGACCUGCAUUUGUGACUGCAUCGCUAGAGUACGGUAGAGGGGGAUGGAAUUCCGCGUGUAGCAGUGAAAUGCGUAGAUAUGCGGAGGAACACCGAUGGCGAAGGCAAUCCCCUGGACCUGUACUGACGCUCAUGCACGAAAGCGUGGGGAGCAAACAGGAUUAGAUACCCUGGUAGUCCACGCCCUAAACGAUGUCAACUGGUUGUUGGGUCUUCACUGACUCAGUAACGAAGCUAA